CCCUUAGAUGUUCUGGGCUGCACGCGCGCUACACUGAUGCACUCAACGAGUUUACGACCUUGCCCGAUAGGGUUGGGUAACCUUUUUAAAAUGCAUCGUGAUGGGGAUAGAUUAUUGCAAUUAUUAAUCUUCAACGAGGAAUUCCUAGUAAGCGCGAGUCAUCAGCUCGUGCUGAUUACGUCCCUGCCCUUUGUACACACCGCCCGUCGCUCCUACCGAUUGAGUGCUCAGGUGAAUAAUUCGGACUGCAGCAAUGUUUGGAUCCCGAACGUUGCAGCGGAAAGUUUAGUGAACCUUAUCACUUAGAGGAAGGAGAAGUCGUAACA
This 326-nucleotide ribosomal RNA is filed under the name uncultured eukaryote. RNAcentral's name for it is "partial 18S ribosomal RNA". It matches the Rfam family "Eukaryotic small subunit ribosomal RNA", at positions 1470 to 1796 of the family's 1831-position model. The record is from RNAcentral.